GUGGGGAAUCUUGCGCAAUGGGCGAAAGCCUGACGCAGCCAUGCCGCGUGAAUGAUGAAGGUCUUAGGAUUGUAAAAUUCUUUCACCGGGGACGAUAAUGACGGUACCCGGAGAAGAAGCUCCGGCUAACUUCGUGCCAGCAGCCGCGGUAAUACGAAGGGGGCUAGCGUUGCUCGGAAUUACUGGGCGUAAAGGGCGCGUAGGCGGACAGCUUAGUCAGAGGAGAAAGCCCAGGGCUCAACCUUGGAAUUGCCUUUGAUACUGGCUGUCUUGAGUUUGGGAGAGGUGAGUGGAACUCCGAGUGUAGAGGUGAAAUUCGUAGAUAUUCGGAAGAACACCAGUGGCGAAGGCGACUCACUGGCCCAAUACUGACGCUGAGGCGCGAAAGCGUGGGGAGCAAACAGGAUUAGAAACCCCUGUAGUCC
This 425-nucleotide ribosomal RNA is filed under the name uncultured bacterium. RNAcentral's name for it is "partial 16S ribosomal RNA". It matches the Rfam family "Bacterial small subunit ribosomal RNA", at positions 354 to 796 of the family's 1533-position model. The record is from RNAcentral.